This 71-nucleotide transfer RNA is filed under the name Caenopedina pulchella. RNAcentral's name for it is "tRNA-Thr". It matches the Rfam family "tRNA". Rfam says of the family: Transfer RNA (tRNA) molecules are approximately 80 nucleotides in length. Their secondary structure includes four short double-helical elements and three loops (D, anti-codon, and T loops). Lineage: Eukaryota; Metazoa; Echinodermata; Echinoidea; Pedinoida; Pedinidae. The record is from RNAcentral.
GCCUUGAUGGCCAAUUAAUAGGCAUCUGGUCUUGUAAAUCAGAAGCGAGGGUUUAAGUCCCUCUUAAGGCG